GGAAUUUUCCGCAAUGGGCGAAAGCCUGACGGAGCAACGCCGCGUGAGGGAUGAAGGCCUCUGGGCUGUAAACCUCUUUUAUCAAGGAAGAAGAUCUGACGGUACUUGAUGAAUAAGCCACGGCUAAUUCCGUGCCAGCAGCCGCGGUAAUACGGGAGUGGCAAGCGUUAUCCGGAAUUAUUGGGCGUAAAGCGUCCGCAGGCGGUCUGUCAAGUCUGCUGUUAAAGCGUGGAGCUUAACUCCAUUUCGGCAGUGGAAACUGACAGACUAGAGUGUGGUAGGGGCAGAGGGAAUUCCCGGUGUAGCGGUGAAAUGCGUAGAUAUCGGGAAGAACACCAGUGGCGAAGGCGCUCUGCUGGGCCAUAACUGACGCUCAGAGACGAAAGCUAGGGUAGCAAAUGGGAUUAGAUACCCCUGUAGUC
This 422-nucleotide ribosomal RNA is filed under the name uncultured cyanobacterium. RNAcentral describes it as "bacterial SSU rRNA". It matches the Rfam family "Bacterial small subunit ribosomal RNA", at positions 358 to 795 of the family's 1533-position model. The record is from RNAcentral. Lineage: Bacteria; Bacillati; Cyanobacteriota.